UACGGGGGGAGCAAGCGUUGUUCGGAAUUACUGGGCGUAAAGGGCGCGUAGGCGGCAAUAUAAGUCAGAUGUGAAAUCCCCGGGCUUAACCUGGGAACUGCAUUUGAUACUGUAUUGCUAGAGUGCGGUAGGGGAUGAUGGAAUUCCUAGUGUAGAGGUGAAAUUCGUAGAUAUUAGGAGGAACACCAGUGGCGAAGGCGAUCAUCUGGGCCGUAACUGACGCUAAGGCGCGAAAGCGUGGGGAGCAAAC
This 250-nucleotide ribosomal RNA is filed under the name uncultured bacterium. RNAcentral's name for it is "partial 16S ribosomal RNA". It matches the Rfam family "Bacterial small subunit ribosomal RNA", at positions 524 to 773 of the family's 1533-position model. The record is from RNAcentral.